Molecule: long non-coding RNA, 333 nt
Filed under: Mytilus galloprovincialis (Mediterranean mussel)
Lineage: Eukaryota; Metazoa; Mollusca; Bivalvia; Mytilida; Mytilidae
Source: RNAcentral
UUUCUCCGGGCACUCCGGCUCUCUCUACCAAUAAAAACGGGCGCCACGAAAUAGCCGAAAUGUGGCGCUUAAAAGUGACAUUAAAACACCAACAAUUUUUUUUUUCUCAUUUUGAAACUACGUUGUUUUAACUUCAAGUCAGAUGGCGGAUUUUUUUUUUUUUUUUGGGGGAGGGGGGGGCGAAUAGGUUGUUCAUCUUUAAAUUGGACAACGUAACAUUUUUAGUCUCGCUACAACAGAUGAUAUUUUUUAAUUUUAUAGAGUACAUGUAAUACCCCUUUCGGAAUCCAGGAAACGCCCUUAAAGGUAAGAAUAGAUUUGAACUGUGCAGUA